RNAcentral lists this ribosomal RNA (574 nucleotides) under Cortinarius sp. LM128. Its description in RNAcentral is "eukaryotic LSU rRNA". The stretch from base 185 to 338 matches the Rfam family "5.8S ribosomal RNA". Lineage: Eukaryota; Fungi; Basidiomycota; Agaricomycetes; Agaricales; Cortinariaceae. The record is from RNAcentral.
CAUUAUUGAAAUAAACCUGAUGGGUUGUUGCUGGUUCUCUAGGGAGCAUGUGCACACCUUGUCAUCUUUAUAUCUCCACCUGUGCACCUUUUGUAGACCCUGGAUAUCUCUUCCAUGGUCUAUGUUGCUUCUUCAYGCACCCCAAUGUAUGUUAACAGAAUGUUUGUGAAUGUAAAAUCUAUACAACUUUCAGCAACGGAUCUCUUGGCUCUCGCAUCGAUGAAGAACGCAGCGAAAUGCGAUAAGUAAUGUGAAUUGCAGAAUUCAGUGAAUCAUCGAAUCUUUGAACGCACCUUGCGCUCCUUGGUAUUCCGAGGAGCAUGCCUGUUUGAGUGUCAUUAAUAUAUAUAUCAACCACUUCUUGUUGAGUGGCUUGGAUGUGGGGGGUUUGCUGGCCUCUUGAAGGGUCAGCUCCCCUGAAAUGCAUUAGCAGAACCAACCUGUUCAAUGGUGUGAUAACUAUCUACGCUAUCGAAAGGGUAAGGCAGUUCAGCUCCCUAACCGUCCCUUGGACAAUUUAUCAUUUAUGUGACCUCAAAUCAGGUAGGACUACCCGCUGAACUUAAGCAUAUCA